This 550-nucleotide long non-coding RNA is filed under the name Pongo abelii (Sumatran orangutan). Its description in RNAcentral is "lincRNA". Lineage: Eukaryota; Metazoa; Chordata; Mammalia; Primates; Hominidae. The record is from RNAcentral.
CUUGGAGAGGGCUCAGGUUGAAAGUGGCAAGCUACUUCCAAGUUCCAGGUGACCCAUAGGCUGUGACGUUGCCAUUAUGAAGAAAUUGCUGUGCUCAUCAACUUACUUUUAACCAAGCUGUUCUUUACUGAAUGCCCUGAAGUCAUUGGAAAGUCACAUGACCUUGCUUUAAAGUGAAGAAUUAUAAUUGUUUCUCUGAAGAUGAGGGAGCUGCACGAAAGAUGUCAGGUACAACAGUGCCGUGUGUAUGCUAUUGAGAACUGGAUGGGAGUGAAAGAGAGUGAUGAAGACAACAGUCUAUAUAGCAUCUCAUCUCCUAUUACCUAUUAGCUCAGCGCUUCAUGUGCAUUACCUCACUGAAUUCUCGCAACAGCCCAAAAAGCUCAUAAUCAUCUGGAGAGACACACUGGCAGAGAGACUACCUUAAUACAAUGGGAGGAAGCGAUGAACAAACUGUGGUGCAUUCACACAACAGUGGUGCUACACAGCAGCGAAGAGGAACAGCCGACUGACACGUAUAACAACUCGGAUCUCAGGAGCAUCGCACGUA